Molecule: long non-coding RNA, 223 nt
Filed under: Homo sapiens (human)
Lineage: Eukaryota; Metazoa; Chordata; Mammalia; Primates; Hominidae
Description: HSALNT0376410
Source: RNAcentral
GUGACAUUGCGCCGAGGCUCUGAAGUGGGUAAUUGCAGACCACAGCUAGGCUGGAAUGCUGUGUUUGGGGUGGUCAUUAGAGUCGUGGUCUCUUUAGCGUUAUGAAGCCUACCUUGACUCCUAGGUGUUCAUUGUGAAUCUUGUUGGUGCUGGUAUCGCUGUACCUCUCAAAUAGCUUCCCCAUUUUGACUAAGAAUGAAGAACUUCUUGGACAAAGAACUUG